AAUAGAUACCCAGGUAGUCCACGCCGUAAACGAUGAGUGCUAAGUGUUAGAGGGUUUCCGCCCUUUAGUGCUGCAGCUAACGCAUUAAGCACUCCGCCUGGGGAGUACGGCCGCAAGGCUGAAACUCAAAGGAAUUGACGGGGGCCCGCACAAGCGGUGGAGCAUGUGGUUUAAUUCGAAGCAACGCGAAGAACCUUACCAGGUCUUGACAUCCUCUGCCAACCCUAGAGAUAGGGCGUUCCCCUUCGGGGGACAGAGUGACAGGUGGUGCAUGGUUGUCGUCAGCUCGUGUCGUGAGAUGUUGGGUUAAGUCCCGCAACGAGCGCAACCCUUGAUCUUAGUUGCCAGCAUUCAGUUGGGCACUCUAAGGUGACUGCCGGUGACAAACCGGAGGAAGGUGGGGAUGACGUCAAAUCAUCAUGCCCCUUAUGACCUGGGCUACACACGUGCUACAAUGGAUGGUACAAAGAGUUGCGACGCCGNGAGGUAACGCAUCUCAAUAACGCUAUUCUCGUAGUCGGUAUUA
RNAcentral lists this ribosomal RNA (526 nucleotides) under uncultured bacterium. Its description in RNAcentral is "bacterial SSU rRNA". It matches the Rfam family "Bacterial small subunit ribosomal RNA", at positions 777 to 1300 of the family's 1533-position model. The record is from RNAcentral.